AUCCAGCUGACGAAUCCCAAAUAGGACGAAACAUGCGUCCUGAAU
RNAcentral lists this non-coding RNA (45 nucleotides) under Schistosoma mansoni. Lineage: Eukaryota; Metazoa; Platyhelminthes; Trematoda; Strigeidida; Schistosomatidae. The record is from RNAcentral.